RNAcentral lists this ribosomal RNA (113 nucleotides) under Panthera tigris altaica (Amur tiger). The record is from RNAcentral. Lineage: Eukaryota; Metazoa; Chordata; Mammalia; Carnivora; Felidae.
GACAUUUGGUGGAGACUGUUGAAACCACCCGGUCCCAGCAGACCUCGGAAAAUGGCCACAUUCACUGGUGCUUGAACAAGGUCAUUAAGGGUGAAGCCUGGUGCCAGAUGUGU